UCAAGUGAAGAAGCGCAUACGGUGGAUGCCUUGGCAGUCAGAGGCGAUGAAAGACGUGGUAGCCUGCGAAAAGCUUCGGGGAGUCGGCAAACAGACUUUGAUCCGGAGAUCUCUGAAUGGGGGAACCCAGCCAUCAUAAGAUGGUUAUCACACACUGAAUACAUAGGUGUGUGAGGCGAACCAGGGGAACUGAAACAUCUAAGUACCCUGAGGAAAAGAAAUCAACCGAGAUUCCCUUAGUAGUGGCGAGCGAACGGGGACUAGCCCUUAAGCUUCUUUGAUUUUAGCGGAACGCUCUGGAAAGUGCGGCCAUAGUGGGUGAUAGCCCUGUACGCGAAAGGAUCUUAGAAGUGAAAUCGAGUAGGACGGAGCACGAGAAACUUUGUCUGAAUAUGGGGGGACCAUCCUCCAAGGCUAAAUACUACUGACUGACCGAUAGUGAACCAGUACCGUGAGGGAAAGGCGAAAAGAACCCCGGAGAGGGGAGUGAAAUAGAACCUGAAACCGUGUGCGUACAAGCAGUGGGAGCAGACUUGUUCUGUGACUGCGUACCUUUUGUAUAAUGGGUCAGCGACUUAUUUUCAGUGGCGAGCUUAACCGAAUAGGGGAGGCGUAGCGAAAGCGAGUCUUAAUAGGGCGUCUAGUCGCUGGGAAUAGACCCGAAACCGGGCGAUCUAUCCAUGGGCAGGUUGAAGGUUAGGUAACACUGACUGGAGGACCGAACCGACUACCUUUGAAAAGUUAGCGGAUGACCUG
This 756-nucleotide ribosomal RNA is filed under the name Leptocylindrus danicus. RNAcentral describes it as "partial Bacterial large subunit ribosomal RNA". It matches the Rfam family "Bacterial large subunit ribosomal RNA", at positions 3 to 811 of the family's 2925-position model. The record is from RNAcentral. Lineage: Eukaryota; Bacillariophyta; Leptocylindrophyceae; Leptocylindrales; Leptocylindraceae.